CCUACGGGAGGCAGCAGUAGGGAAUUUUCGUCAAUGGGCGCAAGCCUGAACGAGCAAUGCCGCGUGAACGAUGAAGGUUUUCGGAUUGUAAAGUUCUGUUUAUGGGGAAAAAGAGCGGAGAGAGUAUAUGCUUUCUGAUUUAUAUUACCCUUCGAGGUAGUCACGGCUAACGACGUGCGAGCAGCUGCGGUAAUAGGUAGGUGGCGAGCGUGAACUGGUAUGAUUGGGCGUAAAGGUGGCGUAGGCGGCCUGCUAAGUCUGGAGUGAAAGGUACCGGCUCAACCGUUACAGUCUCUGGAAACUGGCGAGGCAGAGGGCAGGAGAGGGCAGUGGAAAUGCAUGUGGAGCGGGAAAAUGCGUAGA
RNAcentral lists this ribosomal RNA (363 nucleotides) under uncultured bacterium. Its description in RNAcentral is "partial 16S ribosomal RNA". It matches the Rfam family "Bacterial small subunit ribosomal RNA", at positions 338 to 694 of the family's 1533-position model. The record is from RNAcentral.